AAAACUAGACACUACAGA
RNAcentral lists this small RNA (18 nucleotides) under Mus musculus (house mouse). RNAcentral describes it as "oocyte_piRNA3670". The record is from RNAcentral. Lineage: Eukaryota; Metazoa; Chordata; Mammalia; Rodentia; Muridae.